This 431-nucleotide long non-coding RNA is filed under the name Gossypium barbadense (sea-island cotton). Its description in RNAcentral is "long non-coding RNA (GBAR_LNC005418)". Lineage: Eukaryota; Viridiplantae; Streptophyta; Magnoliopsida; Malvales; Malvaceae. The record is from RNAcentral.
UUAUGAAAAGGAGAAAGGGUUUUUUUUAUAGGUUAAGAGGUUGUUAAGGGGGGUUUGCUUUCUGGCUCUCAGGGCUUAUAGUAGGUUCUGUUCUAAGGUAUUCCCUUUCAUUAGCUACGCGAGACCAGACCUUGACUGAAAGUAAAGGAGAAGGGACGAGUGGCUCUGAUAGCGCAUAGAAGGCUGUUUUUGAUAGCACCGAAGAACCAGUUGCCACUCACUGGCUCCAUAUCUCCUUCCCUUUUUCUCGGUCCCCCCAGAAAAGUGAUAUAUAUUAUAUAUAUAUUAUUCCCCCCACAAUUCUGUACUAUAGCUAUCUAGCUGACGAGUUUACCCUAGCUCUUGUGCUCCGGGGAAAAAUCAGGGAAAGUGUCUAAAAAAGGAAGCAGAGGUUCUUCACUUCACGUGACAUAGUUACGCUCAGGUUUCAC